AUACGGAGGGUGCAAGCGUUAUCCGGAAUCAUUGGGUUUAAAGGGUCCGCAGGCGGAUUAAUAAGUCAGUGGUGAAAUCCUCUCGCUCAACGAGAGAACUGCCAUUGAAACUGUUAGUCUUGAAUUCGCUCGAAGUAGGCGGAAUGUGUCAUGUAGCGGUGAAAUGCAUAGAUAUGACACAGAACACCGAUAGCGAAGGCAGCUUACUAGACCUGGAUUGACGCUCAUGGACGAAAGCGUGGGGAGCGAACAGAAUUAGAUACCCCAGUAGUCC
Molecule: ribosomal RNA, 274 nt
Filed under: uncultured bacterium
Lineage: Bacteria
Description: partial 16S ribosomal RNA
Rfam family: Bacterial small subunit ribosomal RNA
Source: RNAcentral